UCAGAUUGAACGCUGGCGGCAGGCCUAACACAUGCAAGUCGAGCGGUAACAUUUCUAAGCUUGCUUAGAAGAUGACGAGCGGCGGACGGGUGAGUAAUGCUUGGGGAUCUGCCUGAUGGCGGGGGACAACCACUGGAAACGGUGGCUAAUACCGCAUAAUACCUAUGGGUCAAAGUGUGGGACCUUCGGGCCACACGCCAUCAGAUGAACCCAAGUGAGAUUAGCUGGUUGGUAAGGUAACGGCUUACCAAGGCGACGAUCUCUAGCUGGUCUGAGAGGAUGAUCAGCCACACUGGGACUGAGACACGGCCCAGACUCCUACGGGAGGCAGCAGUGGGGAAUAUUGGACAAUGGGGGCAACCCUGAUCCAGCCAUGCCGCGUGUGUGAAGAAGGCCUUCGGGUUGUAAAGCACUUUCAGUGGUGAGGAAGGUGGUGUCGUUAAUAGCGGCAUCAAUUGACGUUAGCCACAGAAGAAGCACCGGCUAACUCCGUGCCAGCAGCCGCGGUAAUACGGAGGGUGCGAGCGUUAAUCGGAAUUACUGGGCGUAAAGCGCACGUAGGCGGUAUGUUAAGCAAGAUGUGAAAGCCCAGAGCUCAACUCUGGAAUAGCAUUUUGAACUGGCAUGCUAGAGUUUUGAAGAGGGUGGUAGAAUUU
RNAcentral lists this ribosomal RNA (656 nucleotides) under uncultured bacterium. RNAcentral's name for it is "bacterial SSU rRNA". It matches the Rfam family "Bacterial small subunit ribosomal RNA", at positions 24 to 669 of the family's 1533-position model. The record is from RNAcentral.